This 3018-nucleotide ribosomal RNA is filed under the name Providencia rettgeri. RNAcentral's name for it is "23S ribosomal RNA". It matches the Rfam family "Bacterial large subunit ribosomal RNA". The record is from RNAcentral. Lineage: Bacteria; Pseudomonadati; Pseudomonadota; Gammaproteobacteria; Enterobacterales; Morganellaceae.
GGUUAAGCGACUAAGCGUACACGGUGGAUGCCUAGGCAAUCAGAGGCGAUGAAGGACGUGCUAAUCUGCGAUAAGCGUCGGUAAGGUGAUAUGAACCGUGAUAACCGACGAUUUCCGAAUGGGGAAACCCAGUGCAAUUCGUUGCACUAUCGUUUGAUGAAUACAUAGUCAAACGAAGCGAACCGGGGGAACUGAAACAUCUCAGUACCCCGAGGAAAAGAAAUCAACCGAGAUUCCCCUAGUAGCGGCGAGCGAACGGGGAGCAGCCCAGAGUCUUAAUCAGCAUUAGCAUCAGGAGAACGGUCUGGAAAGGCCGGCAGUAAAGGGUGAUAGCCCCGUAUCCGAAGGUGUUAGUGUUGUGAACUCGACGAGUAGGGCGGGACACGUGUUAUCCUGUCUGAAUAUGGGGGGACCAUCCUCCAAGGCUAAAUACUCCUGAUUGACCGAUAGUGAACCAGUACCGUGAGGGAAAGGCGAAAAGAACCCCGGCGAGGGGAGUGAAAUAGAACCUGAAACCGUGUACGUACAAGCAGUGGGAGCCCCACCACCAAAGCAUUUUCUGGUGUUGAGGACAACUUUGAAGUGACAUUCAACACGCGUUGGCGGAGCGUUUUUUGCGACGCCCAACACACAAAACAAGCAGUGAAUGUGCUUUGGGGUGGGGUGACUGCGUACCUUUUGUAUAAUGGGUCAGCGACUUAUAUUCUGUAGCAAGGUUAACCGUAUAGGGGAGCCGUAGGGAAACCGAGUCUUAACUGGGCGAAUGAGUUGCAGGGUAUAGACCCGAAACCCGGUGAUCUAGCCAUGGGCAGGUUGAAGGUUGGGUAACACUAACUGGAGGACCGAACCGACUAAUGUUGAAAAAUUAGCGGAUGACUUGUGGCUGGGGGUGAAAGGCCAAUCAAACCGGGAGAUAGCUGGUUCUCCCCGAAAGCUAUUUAGGUAGCGCCUCGUGAACUCAUCUUCGGGGGUAGAGCACUGUUUCGACUAGGGGGUCAUCCCGACUUACCAACUCGAUGCAAACUACGAAUACCGAAGAAUGUUAUCACGGGAGACACACGGCGGGUGCUAACGUUCGUCGUGAAGAGGGAAACAACCCAGACCGCCAGCUAAGGUCCCAAAGUCAUAGUUAAGUGGGAAACGAAGUGGGAAGGCUCAGACAGCCAGGAUGUUGGCUUAGAAGCAGCCAUCAUUUAAAGAAAGCGUAAUAGCUCACUGGUCGAGUCGGCCUGCGCGGAAGAUGUAACGGGGCUAAACUAUGCACCGAAGCUGCGGCAGCGAUAUGUAAAUAUUGUUGGGUAGGGGAGCGUUCUGUAAGCCUGUGAAGGUGUACUGCGAGGUAUGCUGGAGGUAUCAGAAGUGCGAAUGCUGACAUAAGUAACGAUAAUGCGGGUGAAAAACCCGCACGCCGGAAGACCAAGGGUUCCUGUCCAACGUUAAUCGGGGCAGGGUGAGUCGACCCCUAAGGCGAGGCAGAAAUGCGUAGUCGAUGGGAAACGGGUUAAUAUUCCCGUACUGGUGAUAAUUGCGAUGGGGGGACGGAGAAGGCUAGGCUAUCCGGGCGACGGUUGUCCCGGUUUAAGGAUGUAGGCAGGUGAAUUAGGCAAAUCCGGUUCACUAUAUGCUGAGGUCCGACGACGAGUCACUACGGUGAUGAAGUAGCUCAUGCCCCGCUUCCAGGAAAAGCCUCUAAGCUCUAGAUUAUCAUUAAUCGUACCCCAAACCGACACAGGUGGUCAGGUAGAGAAUACUCAGGCGCUUGAGAGAACUCGGGUGAAGGAACUAGGCAAAAUGGUGCCGUAACUUCGGGAGAAGGCACGCUGGCGCUAGGUGAAGUCCCUCGCGGAUGGAGCUGAAGCCAGUCGCAGAUACCAGCUGGCUGCAACUGUUUAUUAAAAACACAGCACUGUGCAAACACGAAAGUGGACGUAUACGGUGUGACGCCUGCCCGGUGCUGGAAGGUUAAUUGAUGGGGUUAUCCGUAAGGAGAAGCUCUUGAUCGAAGCCCCAGUAAACGGCGGCCGUAACUAUAACGGUCCUAAGGUAGCGAAAUUCCUUGUCGGGUAAGUUCCGACCUGCACGAAUGGCGUAAUGAUGGCCAGGCUGUCUCCACCCGAGACUCAGUGAAAUUGAACUCGCUGUGAAGAUGCAGUGUACCCGCGGCAAGACGGAAAGACCCCGUGAACCUUUACUAUAGCUUGACACUGAACAUUGAGCCUUGAUGUGUAGGAUAGGUGGGAGGCUUUGAAGUGUGGACGCCAGUCUGCAUGGAGCCAACCUUGAAAUACCACCCUUUAAUGUUUGAUGUUCUAACGUAGCCCCGUUAUCCGGGGUGCGGACAGUGUCUGGUGGGUAGUUUGACUGGGGCGGUCUCCUCCCAAAGAGUAACGGAGGAGCACGAAGGUUGGCUAAGCAUGGUCGGACAUCAUGCGGUUAGUGCAAAGGCAUAAGCCAGCUUGACUGCGAGAGUGACGGCUCGAGCAGGUACGAAAGUAGGUCUUAGUGAUCCGGUGGUUCUGAAUGGAAGGGCCAUCGCUCAACGGAUAAAAGGUACUCCGGGGAUAACAGGCUGAUACCGCCCAAGAGUUCAUAUCGACGGCGGUGUUUGGCACCUCGAUGUCGGCUCAUCACAUCCUGGGGCUGAAGUAGGUCCCAAGGGUACGGCUGUUCGCCGUUUAAAGUGGUACGCGAGCUGGGUUUAGAACGUCGUGAGACAGUUCGGUCCCUAUCUGCCGUGGGCGUUGGAAGAUUGAAAGGGGCUGCUCCUAGUACGAGAGGACCGGAGUGGACGCACCACUGGUGUUCGGGUUGUCAUGCCAAUGGCAUUGCCCGGUAGCUAAGUGCGGAAGAGAUAACCGCUGAAAGCAUCUAAGCGGGAAACUUGCCUUGAGAUGAGUCUUCCCUGACUCUUUAAGGGUCCUAAAGGAACGUUUAAGACUAAGACGUUGAUAGGUUGGGUGUGUAAGCGUAGCGAUACGUUGAGCUAACCAAUACUAAUGAACCGUGAGGCUUAACCUG